This 911-nucleotide ribosomal RNA is filed under the name Achromobacter sp. RNAcentral's name for it is "bacterial SSU rRNA". It matches the Rfam family "Bacterial small subunit ribosomal RNA", at positions 93 to 1031 of the family's 1533-position model. Lineage: Bacteria; Pseudomonadati; Pseudomonadota; Betaproteobacteria; Burkholderiales; Alcaligenaceae. The record is from RNAcentral.
GAGUGGCGAACGGGUGAGUAAUGUAUCGGAACGUGCCUAUCUACGGGGGAUAGCUACACGAAAGCGUAACUCAUACCGCAAACGCCCUACGGGGGAAAGCAUGGGAUCGGGAGACCUUGCACUCUUGCAGCGGCCGAUGUCGGAAUAGCUAGAUUAGUGGGGUAGCGGCUCACCAGCGCCACGAUGCGUAUCUGGUUUGAGAGGACGACCAGCCACACUGGCACUGAGACACGGCCCCGACUCCUACAGGAGGCAGCAGUGGGGAAGUUUGGACAUAUGGGAGAAAGCCUGAUCCAGCCAUCCCGCGUGUGCGAGGAAGGCCUUCGGGUUGUAGAGCUCUUUUGGCAUGAUAGAGACGUUCCGGGUUAAUACCCCGGGAAACUGACGGUACCUGCACACUAAGCACCGGCUAACUACGUGCCAGCGUCCGCGGUAAUACGUAUGGUGCAAGCGUUAAUCGGAUUACUGGGCGUAGGCGUGCGCACGCGGUUCGGAAAGAAAGAUGUGAAAUCCCAGAGCUUAACUUUGGAACUGCAUUUUUAACUACCGAGCUGGAGUGUGUCAGAGGGAGGUGGAAUUCCGCGUGUAGCAGUGAAAUGCGUAGAUGUGCGGAGGAACACCGAUAGCUAAGGCGGCCUCCUGGGAAACACUGACACUCAGCACGAAGCGUGAGGAGCAACAGGAUUAGAUACCCUGGUACCCACGCCCUAACGAUUUCACUAGCUUUUGGGCCUUCGGGCCUUGUAGCGCACUUAGCGUGAAUUGACGCCUGGGGAGUACGGUCGCAAGAUUAAACUCACAGAAUUGACGGGACCGCACAGCGCUGGAGAUGUGGAUUAUUCGAUGCACGCGAAAACCUUACUACCCUGACUGUCUGGAUGCCAAAAAUUUGCAGUGUCGCAGAGACCGGA